CGAAUGCUGACAUAAGUAACGAUAAAGCGGGUGAAAAGCCCGCUCGCCGGAAGACCAAGGGUUCCUGUCCAACGUUAAUCGGGGCAGGGUGAGUCGACCCCUAAGGCGAGGCCGAAAGGCGUAGUCGAUGGGAAACGGGUUAAUAUUCCCGUACUUGGUGUUACUGCGAAGGGGGGACGGAGAAGGCUAUGUUGGCCGGGCGACGGUUGUCCCGGUUUAAGCGUGUAGGUGUGUGUUCCAGGUAAAUCCGGUUCACUUUAACACUGAGGCGUGAUGACGAGGCACUACGGUGCUGAAGCAACAAAUGCCCUGCUUCCAGGAAAAGCCUCUAAGCAUCAGGUAACAUCAAAUCGUACCCCAAACCGACACAGGUGGUCAGGUAGAGAAUACCAAGGCGCUUGAGAGAACUCGGGUGAAGGAACUAGGCAAAAUGGUGCCGUAACUUCGGGAGAAGGCACGCUGACACGUAGGUGAAGUGAUUUACUCAUGGAGCUGAAGUCAGUCGAAGAUACCAGCUGGCUGCAACUGUUUAUUAAAAACACAGCACUGUGCAAACACGAAAGUGGACGUAUACGGUGUGACGCCUGCCCGGUGCCGGAAGGUUAAUUGAUGGGGUCAGCGCAAGCGAAGCUCCUGAUCGAAGCCCCGGUAAACGGCGGCCGUAACUAUAACGGUCCUAAGGUAGCGAAAUUCCUUGUCGGGUAAGUUCCGACCUGCACGAAUGGCGUAAUGAUGGCCAGGCUGUCUCCACCCGAGACUCAGUGAAAUUGAACUCGCUGUGAAGAUGCAGUGUACCCGCGGCAAGACGGAAAGACCCCGUGAACCUUUACUAUAGCUUGACACUGAACAUUGAGCCUUGAUGUGUAGGAUAGGUGGGAGGCUUUGAAGUGUGGACGCCAGUCUGCAUGGAGCCGACCUUGAAAUACCACCCUUUAAUGUUUGAUGUUCUAACGUGGACCCGUUACCCGGGUUGCGGACAGUGUCUGGUGGGUAGUUUGACUGGGGCGGUCUCCUCCUAAAGAGUAACGGAGGAGCACGAAGGUUGGCUAAUCCUGGUCGGACAUCAGGAGGUUAGUGCAAUGGCAUAAGCCAGCUUGACUGCGAGCGUGACGGCGCGAGCAGGUGCGAAAGCAGGUCAUAGUGAUCCGGUGGUUCUGAAUGGAAGGGCCAUCGCUCAACGGAUAAAAGGUACUCCGGGGAUAACAGGCUGAUACCGCCCAAGAGUUCAUAUCGACGGCGGUGUUUGGCACCUCGAUGUCGGCUCAUCACAUCCUGGGGCUGAAGUAGGUCCCAAGGGUAUGGCUGUUCGCCAUUUAAAGUGGUACGCGAGCUGGGUUUAGAACGUCGUGAGACAGUUCGGUCCCUAUCUGCCGUGGGCGCUGGAGAACUGAGGGGGGCUGCUCCUAGUACGAGAGGACCGGAGUGGACGCAUCACUGGUGUUCGGGUUGUCAUGCCAAUGGCACUGCCCGGUAGCUAAAUGCGGAAGAGAUAAGUGCUGAAAGCAUCUAAGCACGAAACUUGCCCCGAGAUGAGUUCUCCCUGAGACUUAAAGUCUCCUGAAGGAACGUUGAAGACGACGACGUUGAUAG
Molecule: ribosomal RNA, 1590 nt
Filed under: Salmonella enterica subsp. enterica serovar Enteritidis
Lineage: Bacteria; Pseudomonadati; Pseudomonadota; Gammaproteobacteria; Enterobacterales; Enterobacteriaceae
Description: partial 23S ribosomal RNA
Rfam family: Bacterial large subunit ribosomal RNA
Source: RNAcentral